AAUAACAAGUGAUCACAGUUCUUUGAGGGACGUGUUAUCUUUGCUGACUACGCCAGACCAAUAACCUCAUACAGGACACCAAUGUGAGUUUUGGUGGACUUUCCACCGCUAAAAUUGUCCAAUCAUUGAAUUUGAGUAGUAAUCACUGAAUGUUACUAGUAAUCAGCAAAAAAUUCCUGGAAUCAUGCUUGCUUGUGCUAUCAUCAAGACUAAUGGUUUUCUCCUUGUUGGCAUAUGUCAAUGAAUUUGGUGUUUGAUGGUGGUGAGAACCAGAAGGAAUGAAUUGAUGAAAAGGAAUGUAUCUUCCCUGUUUGAAGGAUGCAAUGCCUUACAACUAGCUGACAUAUUAGCGAAUUUGGAUAUGGUUUUGGUGUUUGCUGGACAUAACGUGUUGUUCUCAUUCUCUGAUUGAAGUUAACUGGAUUAAGAUGCAUGUACAAGGGGGGGAGUAGGUAAUCCACUUUUGGGAGAAGAAUCAAAAGAAUAUAAUUGCUUCUGCUCUUAAAGGCUCAGAUUUUAUUUUCACUACUGUGGGUUUGGGUUCUAGAGCUCCACCUGUUGUGGCUCAGAUAUAUUCAUUUAUUUUUUCU
This is a long non-coding RNA of Impatiens glandulifera, 590 nucleotides long. RefSeq lists it as uncharacterized. Lineage: Eukaryota; Viridiplantae; Streptophyta; Magnoliopsida; Ericales; Balsaminaceae. The transcript is spliced from 5 exons. The record is from RefSeq and is a predicted model, not a curated record.